CCUACGGGUGGCAGCAGUGGGGAAUAUUGCGCAAUGGGCGAAAGCCUGACGCAGCGACGCCGCGUGAGGGAUGAAGGUCUUCGGAUCGUAAACCUCUGUCAGCAGGGAAGAACGGUCACUGUGCUAAUCAGCAGUGAAUUGACGGUACCUGCAAAGGAAGCACCGGCUAACUCCGUGCCAGCAGCCGCGGUAAUACGGAGGGUGCGAGCGUUAAUCGGAAUUACUGGGCGUAAAGCGCUCGUAGGCGGUAUGUCAAGUCAAGGGUGAAAGCCCCGCGCCCAACGUGGGAACUGACUUUGAAACUGGCAAACUGGAGUGUGUGAGAGGAUAGUGGAAUUCCAGGUGUAGGGGUGAAAUCCGUAGAUAUCUGGAAGAACAUCAGUGGCGAAGGCGACUAUCUGGCACAUAACUGACGCUGAGGAGCGAAAGCGUGGGUAGCAAACAGGAUUAGAUACCCUAGUAGUC
Molecule: ribosomal RNA, 465 nt
Filed under: uncultured bacterium
Lineage: Bacteria
Description: partial 16S ribosomal RNA
Rfam family: Bacterial small subunit ribosomal RNA
Source: RNAcentral